ACGCUCUGGAGAAUCCCGGGGAUCCGGGUGCCGAAGGUGCAAGGCCGUGUGAGCGGCUAAUCUCUCAGGCAAAAGGACAGAGGCU
This 85-nucleotide non-coding RNA is filed under the name bovine gut metagenome. RNAcentral's name for it is "Glycine riboswitch". It matches the Rfam family "Glycine riboswitch aptamer", at positions 9 to 86 of the family's 94-position model. Rfam says of the family: This family represents the bacterial glycine riboswitch. Glycine riboswitches usually consist of two metabolite-binding aptamers domains with similar structures in tandem. The aptamers cooperatively bind glycine to regulate the expression of downstream genes. The record is from RNAcentral.